This 1018-nucleotide long non-coding RNA is filed under the name Equus caballus (horse). RNAcentral's name for it is "lncRNA (ENSECAG00000058658.1)". The record is from RNAcentral. Lineage: Eukaryota; Metazoa; Chordata; Mammalia; Perissodactyla; Equidae.
CGGCUGUCUGUGAACGGCGAACCAGGUCCUCACCAGACACUGAAUCUGCUGACAACUUGAUCUUGGACUUCUCAGCCUCCAGAACAGAGCAACACCCAUCAUCACGCAACUGAUUCGUCAGCAAGGAUGUGUCAUCUUAAAGUUGUCCAGGAUGGAUGCAUUGGCUGGGCCACCAUGGAGAUGGUCUAUUCUGUAAAUAUGAACAGUGUUCAAUCAAGAGGAUACUUGUUUAGCUUUUCAGCAUGUCUUUCCUAAAGCGAGCCUCCUUGGGAAAGGUGAUUUCUGGAUUAUAAAUCCUCGAGGCAUUUAUUGUAAGAACAGGAAUCAUGAUGCACCACUCUGCUAUUCGUGUGGCUGCUCAGCGUCAAGUCCCCAGGACCUCCACGGAGUUGACUUGAUUUGGUUUUCCACUUCCUUUUCUGAGUGAGAGCCACAUGAACUCAGAUGUGCAGGCUCACAGGAGCCCGAGUGGGCGGCCCUUUCUGUUGCUGCUUUGGUCUGCCUGGACUCAGCGGUUGUGGUGUGUGCGGAUCUGAGCCACUUCAGGGGACCCUCAGCUACACCUACCCCAUAUCCUCAAGUUUCCACUGAAACAAGAGGCCUGGGGUAAUGCUUAGGAUAGCUCGGACAGUUGCAAACCUCUGGGGCACUGGGGAGAAAUGUGGCUUGAGUUUUGGAGCAUUGACGUAUAUUUUCUAACUCCUCAUAUUUAAUCCUGAGAGUUGGGCUGGAUGUUAAAUCCUAGAGGUGGGGGGGUUUCCUAGAGGACAGUGACAUCCAAAAACUGUCCAGGGUUUUGGUGUCAGAUUUUUGACUUGAUGGAGAGUUUGGAGAGUGGCCCCUAUAUAUGAACAUUAAUAGUGCCUUUCUCAAAGGCUAAAUGAAAUGUUGUGUUCCUCCUCUACUUUGCAAAUGUUCAAUUGGCAAGUUAAGUCUUUUCACCUUGAAAGUCUUAAUUAUGCUCCCAAAUCGCCAGGGGUGAUGUUGAAAAUAUUUAGCACAGGCAACAAUGAAGCAG